Molecule: non-coding RNA, 29 nt
Filed under: Mus musculus (house mouse)
Lineage: Eukaryota; Metazoa; Chordata; Mammalia; Rodentia; Muridae
Source: RNAcentral
UAAAAUACCUACAAAGAAAACCUAACAGC